This 2904-nucleotide ribosomal RNA is filed under the name Escherichia coli. RNAcentral's name for it is "23S ribosomal RNA". It matches the Rfam family "Bacterial large subunit ribosomal RNA". Lineage: Bacteria; Pseudomonadati; Pseudomonadota; Gammaproteobacteria; Enterobacterales; Enterobacteriaceae. The record is from RNAcentral.
GGUUAAGCGACUAAGCGUACACGGUGGAUGCCCUGGCAGUCAGAGGCGAUGAAGGACGUGCUAAUCUGCGAUAAGCGUCGGUAAGGUGAUAUGAACCGUUAUAACCGGCGAUUUCCGAAUGGGGAAACCCAGUGUGUUUCGACACACUAUCAUUAACUGAAUCCAUAGGUUAAUGAGGCGAACCGGGGGAACUGAAACAUCUAAGUACCCCGAGGAAAAGAAAUCAACCGAGAUUCCCCCAGUAGCGGCGAGCGAACGGGGAGCAGCCCAGAGCCUGAAUCAGUGUGUGUGUUAGUGGAAGCGUCUGGAAAGGCGCGCGAUACAGGGUGACAGCCCCGUACACAAAAAUGCACAUGCUGUGAGCUCGAUGAGUAGGGCGGGACACGUGGUAUCCUGUCUGAAUAUGGGGGGACCAUCCUCCAAGGCUAAAUACUCCUGACUGACCGAUAGUGAACCAGUACCGUGAGGGAAAGGCGAAAAGAACCCCGGCGAGGGGAGUGAAAAAGAACCUGAAACCGUGUACGUACAAGCAGUGGGAGCACGCUUAGGCGUGUGACUGCGUACCUUUUGUAUAAUGGGUCAGCGACUUAUAUUCUGUAGCAAGGUUAACCGAAUAGGGGAGCCGAAGGGAAACCGAGUCUUAACUGGGCGUUAAGUUGCAGGGUAUAGACCCGAAACCCGGUGAUCUAGCCAUGGGCAGGUUGAAGGUUGGGUAACACUAACUGGAGGACCGAACCGACUAAUGUUGAAAAAUUAGCGGAUGACUUGUGGCUGGGGGUGAAAGGCCAAUCAAACCGGGAGAUAGCUGGUUCUCCCCGAAAGCUAUUUAGGUAGCGCCUCGUGAAUUCAUCUCCGGGGGUAGAGCACUGUUUCGGCAAGGGGGUCAUCCCGACUUACCAACCCGAUGCAAACUGCGAAUACCGGAGAAUGUUAUCACGGGAGACACACGGCGGGUGCUAACGUCCGUCGUGAAGAGGGAAACAACCCAGACCGCCAGCUAAGGUCCCAAAGUCAUGGUUAAGUGGGAAACGAUGUGGGAAGGCCCAGACAGCCAGGAUGUUGGCUUAGAAGCAGCCAUCAUUUAAAGAAAGCGUAAUAGCUCACUGGUCGAGUCGGCCUGCGCGGAAGAUGUAACGGGGCUAAACCAUGCACCGAAGCUGCGGCAGCGACGCUUAUGCGUUGUUGGGUAGGGGAGCGUUCUGUAAGCCUGUGAAGGUGUACUGUGAGGUAUGCUGGAGGUAUCAGAAGUGCGAAUGCUGACAUAAGUAACGAUAAAGCGGGUGAAAAGCCCGCUCGCCGGAAGACCAAGGGUUCCUGUCCAACGUUAAUCGGGGCAGGGUGAGUCGACCCCUAAGGCGAGGCCGAAAGGCGUAGUCGAUGGGAAACAGGUUAAUAUUCCUGUACUUGGUGUUACUGCGAAGGGGGGACGGAGAAGGCUAUGUUGGCCGGGCGACGGUUGUCCCGGUUUAAGCGUGUAGGCUGGUUUUCCAGGCAAAUCCGGAAAAUCAAGGCUGAGGCGUGAUGACGAGGCACUACGGUGCUGAAGCAACAAAUGCCCUGCUUCCAGGAAAAGCCUCUAAGCAUCAGGUAACAUCAAAUCGUACCCCAAACCGACACAGGUGGUCAGGUAGAGAAUACCAAGGCGCUUGAGAGAACUCGGGUGAAGGAACUAGGCAAAAUGGUGCCGUAACUUCGGGAGAAGGCACGCUGAUAUGUAGGUGAAGUCCCUCGCGGAUGGAGCUGAAAUCAGUCGAAGAUACCAGCUGGCUGCAACUGUUUAUUAAAAACACAGCACUGUGCAAACACGAAAGUGGACGUAUACGGUGUGACGCCUGCCCGGUGCCGGAAGGUUAAUUGAUGGGGUCAGCGCAAGCGAAGCUCUUGAUCGAAGCCCCGGUAAACGGCGGCCGUAACUAUAACGGUCCUAAGGUAGCGAAAUUCCUUGUCGGGUAAGUUCCGACCUGCACGAAUGGCGUAAUGAUGGCCAGGCUGUCUCCACCCGAGACUCAGUGAAAUUGAACUCGCUGUGAAGAUGCAGUGUACCCGCGGCAAGACGGAAAGACCCCGUGAACCUUUACUAUAGCUUGACACUGAACAUUGAGCCUUGAUGUGUAGGAUAGGUGGGAGGCUUUGAAGUGUGGACGCCAGUCUGCAUGGAGCCGACCUUGAAAUACCACCCUUUAAUGUUUGAUGUUCUAACGUUGACCCGUGAUCCGGGUUGCGGACAGUGUCUGGUGGGUAGUUUGACUGGGGCGGUCUCCUCCUAAAGAGUAACGGAGGAGCACGAAGGUUGGCUAAUCCUGGUCGGACAUCAGGAGGUUAGUGCAAUGGCAUAAGCCAGCUUGACUGCGAGCGUGACGGCGCGAGCAGGUGCGAAAGCAGGUCAUAGUGAUCCGGUGGUUCUGAAUGGAAGGGCCAUCGCUCAACGGAUAAAAGGUACUCCGGGGAUAACAGGCUGAUACCGCCCAAGAGUUCAUAUCGACGGCGGUGUUUGGCACCUCGAUGUCGGCUCAUCACAUCCUGGGGCUGAAGUAGGUCCCAAGGGUAUGGCUGUUCGCCAUUUAAAGUGGUACGCGAGCUGGGUUUAGAACGUCGUGAGACAGUUCGGUCCCUAUCUGCCGUGGGCGCUGGAGAACUGAGGGGGGCUGCUCCUAGUACGAGAGGACCGGAGUGGACGCAUCACUGGUGUUCGGGUUGUCAUGCCAAUGGCACUGCCCGGUAGCUAAAUGCGGAAGAGAUAAGUGCUGAAAGCAUCUAAGCACGAAACUUGCCCCGAGAUGAGUUCUCCCUGACUCCUUGAGAGUCCUGAAGGAACGUUGAAGACGACGACGUUGAUAGGCCGGGUGUGUAAGCGCAGCGAUGCGUUGAGCUAACCGGUACUAAUGAACCGUGAGGCUUAACCUU